GAGAGAGAGAGAGAGAGAGAGAGAGAGAGAGAAAGAGAGAAGAGAGAUAGAGGGAGAAUUCACGUGGACGAUCGAAGCGUUCCAUUAUUUCCCUCUUAACUUCCCGUUUUUAUGCACGCAAUUUUUGUUCUGUUUAAUAAAAACAAAAGAAA
Molecule: long non-coding RNA, 152 nt
Organism: Vespula pensylvanica (western yellowjacket)
Lineage: Eukaryota; Metazoa; Arthropoda; Insecta; Hymenoptera; Vespidae
Exons: 2
Source: RefSeq, a predicted model, not a curated record